Molecule: long non-coding RNA, 1331 nt
Filed under: Hordeum vulgare
Lineage: Eukaryota; Viridiplantae; Streptophyta; Magnoliopsida; Poales; Poaceae
Description: long non-coding RNA (HVUL_LNC019563)
Source: RNAcentral
AUGUGUCUGUCUGUGACGAGGUUUGGUCGGCUGUGACGCCAGGUUUGAGCAGCUCCAGAGACUGUCUAAGUUACUCACCACUAUGGCCAGUCUGAUGGAUGGAUGGAUGCUACUGUGUGAUGAAGAGAUGGAGUUCUUACCAGGGGCGAUGAUGAUGACCAUGGCUGAAAUAAGCAUGUCUUGAGCAAUUAAGACAACUGUGGCCCGUGGGUACUAAAUUAGAGCGCACCCUUACCUCUCUUGCAGCAAUUCAAUUCAUAGCUAAUGUUGGAUCGUUCUGUGCCUUGGACGGUCAUUCUGAUGAAUGAUAACCAGGACAAUCCUCUUACAUCGCGAUGGGUAGAUUAUGCAGCAAGCUAUGUGAGUGUUCGGCUUUAAGAUGAAAGGCAAAACUGAGCCCUCUUUUGCUACGCUACAAAUAUUUGAUUUUACCUUCUUUAAUAUGCAUUGUUUUUUCUUUUCUAUUCCUCUCUAUUGUGUUGAUGUGAGUAACGACCCAUCUGGACUUGGAUUUAUGUCUUCCGAACACAACAUAUUUGUUUCCGUUGUGUGUUGAUGAGUUCUAUUCUUUUCUGAAUGGCUAUGAUGAUUUCCUCCCACUUGGUGUUGAAUAUCUAUCAACAUAUCCAGAGAUAUAGAUUGCUGGUAUUAUGUUUGCUUUUCAGUUGUUUUACCCCUGGCAGUUUUCUCUUCCCUUAUUACACAACCCUCUUGAGCUGUGAAUUGAGCUUGUCCUGCAUGUCUUAUAUUUUUGGUAGGCUGGGAGAUAUUUUAACCAUAUUCUCAGUUUCAGUUUCAGUUAGCAAUCUUUCUACACCUAGCAUGAGAAAACCUUGUACUGUCAUUCAGUACAUUAUAGCAUCUGUUGAACAAUGUUCUCUUGUGAGUGUUGGGCUUUAAGAUGAAAGGCAAAACUAAGCCCUCUUUUGCUACGCUACAAAUAUUUGAUCUGUGUGAUGAAGAGAUGGAGUUCUUACCAGGGGCGAUGAUGAUGACCAUGGCUGAAAUAAGCAUGUCUUGAGCAAUUAAGACAGUUGUGGCCUGUGGGUACUAAAUUAGAGCGCACCCUUACCUCUCUUGCAGCAAUUCAAUUCAUAGCUAAUGUUGGAUGUUCUGUGCCUUGGACGAUCAUUGUGAUGAAUGAUAACCAGGACAGUCCUCUUACAUCGCGAUGGGUAGAUUAUGCAGCAAGCUAUGUGAGUGCUGGGCUUUAAGAUGAAAGGCAAAACUGAGCCCUCUUUUGCUACGCUACAAACAUUUGAUUUUACCUUCUUUAAUAUGCAUUGUUUUUUUCUUUUCUAUUCCUCUCUAUUGUGUUGAUGUGAGUAACG